AGGGAUAGUUUGGAACUUUUGAAGUGGGGUUGUAUGAGGUAAUUAGCCAAAGUCAGUGUGUUACCUUCAGUAGAUGGUGGUCGGUAUGCCCCCAGUUUGGAAAAGCAGGCAGGAGUGCUGACAUGGAAACU
Long non-coding RNA from Etheostoma spectabile (orangethroat darter), 131 nucleotides. RefSeq lists it as uncharacterized. The record is from RefSeq and is a predicted model, not a curated record. The transcript has 3 exons. NCBI's taxonomy places the organism in Eukaryota, Metazoa, Chordata, Actinopteri, Perciformes, Percidae.